This is a long non-coding RNA of Gordionus sp. m RMFG-2023, 793 nucleotides long. RefSeq lists it as uncharacterized. The transcript has 4 exons. The record is from RefSeq and is a predicted model, not a curated record. NCBI's taxonomy places the organism in Eukaryota, Metazoa, Nematomorpha, Gordioida, Chordodea, Parachordodidae.
CUUAAUUAUCUAUGUUAGGUUAAAAUUUCCAGUCUUAUAAAAAAAAUUAUAGUUGGAGUGACCUAGAGUUCCCCUGUACUCAAUGUAACCCGGCUUUCCCUAUAAGAAUAAAUUUACUAUAUCGAAAUUCAACAAGAGGAAUUAGACAUGUUGAUUUGAAGCUUGCUCCAAGGAUUAAAAAAGCAUGUGUUAUUGAUUUGGGAAAUGGAUUAUUUAAUAUAUGGGUAUCAUGGGAUUCAAAUCACAUCAAACAAAAUUUUUACGGCUUCAUCAUUAAAUUGCGACCUACCAUUAUUGACACGUAUUCUCUUUCGCAAGAGCACUUCAUAAAAAAUCCAAGAAAGAAUUCAUUUGAUUUUAGUAAUGUGACAUCAAAUCGCGAAUACAUUAUAGCAAUACGCGUUUUAUUCAAGUAUUAUGAUAAUAAUAAAAUGAGUAAUUUUCCCUAUGCCUUCCAUACUAUCUUCAUAACUGCUCUGUAAAUGUUAGACCCAGAAUUGGAGUGUUCCAUUUUAAAUUUUUUGAGUUAGGGAGUGGAUUUUAUUUUUAUUAAUUUUCAAGAAAUAUUAUAUAAAUGCCAAAUUUGAGCUUAUUUUUGUAAUUUUUGCUAUAUAUAUAUCCACUAUCUAUCUAUAUUAUGAUAUUUUAUAAUAACCUAUUUUGUACCUUUUUUAAAAAAAUUUAUUUAAAAAUAAUGUUAACUUUAUGCACUGAAAAAAUUAUCAAUUAAAUACUGUAGUAAUUUUUUAUCAUGAAAUAAAUUAAAAUUAAAUAAAAUUUUUUUAUCUUGCUA